RNAcentral lists this long non-coding RNA (217 nucleotides) under Mytilus galloprovincialis (Mediterranean mussel). The record is from RNAcentral. Lineage: Eukaryota; Metazoa; Mollusca; Bivalvia; Mytilida; Mytilidae.
GUGGUCUUUUAUUAAUUUUAUAGGUCUAUUGUGAUUUCAUUAGAUGCCAUUUGAUUAUGUUUUAUUGGCACAUUAUUUGUUUGAUUAAAAAUGUCAUUUUGGAGAGACACUUGACUAGAUGUUCUUUUAACUAGUUUUCUAGAUUUUCUGUCUUUUUAUUUGCUUUAUCAAAGGAAUAACCCAUAAACAAACGACAUCUAUAAUAUCAAAAAUUGUC